RNAcentral lists this small RNA (165 nucleotides) under uncultured Prevotella sp. Its description in RNAcentral is "Bacteroidales-1 6S-Bacteroidales RNA suggested". It matches the Rfam family "Bacteroidales-1 6S-Bacteroidales RNA suggested". Lineage: Bacteria; Pseudomonadati; Bacteroidota; Bacteroidia; Bacteroidales; Prevotellaceae. The record is from RNAcentral.
ACAGAUCGGGAUACUCAUCAAACAAUUCAUUGAAAACCGGGAACCAUCUCAUGCCAAUGGCGGGCCACUAACCAAGCUUUGAUUCAUUGCCGGUGGAUUACAAAGGCGGAGAACUCCCAUAACCUGUAAUCAAGGAGUUUUCAUCACAUCGCUGGUACGACCCUU